AUUGAACGCUGGCGCCAUGCCUUACACAUGCAAGUCGAACGGCAGCGGGGGAGAAGCUUGCUUUUCCUGCCGGCGAGUGGCGAACGGGUGAGUAAUACAUCGGAACGUGCCCUGUAGUGGGGGAUAACUAGUCGAAAGAUUAGCUAAUACCGCAUACGACCUGAGGGUGAAAGUGGGGGACCGCAAGGCCUCAUGCUAUAGGAGCGGCCGAUGUCUGAUUAGCUAGUUGGUGGGGUAAAGGCCUACCAAGGCGACGAUCAGUAGCUGGUCUGAGAGGACGGUCAGCCACACUGGGACUGAGACACGGCCCAGACUCCUACGGGAGGCAGCAGUGGGGAAUUUUGGACAAUGGGCGAAAGCCUGAUCCAGCAAUGCCGCGUGUGUGAAGAAGGCCUUCGGGUUGUAAAGCACUUUUGUCCGGAAAGAAAUGGCUCUGGUUAAUACCUGGGGUCGAUGACGGUACCGGAAGAAUAAGGACCGGCUAACUACGUGCCAGCAGCCGCAGUAA
This 508-nucleotide ribosomal RNA is filed under the name uncultured bacterium. Its description in RNAcentral is "partial 16S ribosomal RNA". It matches the Rfam family "Bacterial small subunit ribosomal RNA", at positions 30 to 523 of the family's 1533-position model. The record is from RNAcentral.